RNAcentral lists this ribosomal RNA (270 nucleotides) under uncultured bacterium. RNAcentral describes it as "partial 16S ribosomal RNA". It matches the Rfam family "Bacterial small subunit ribosomal RNA", at positions 88 to 354 of the family's 1533-position model. The record is from RNAcentral.
CCGGCGACCAGCGCACGGGUGAGUAACACGUAUGCAACCUGGCCGUCACAGGGGGAUAACCGGUAGAAAUGCCGCCUAAUACCCCAUGACACCCUUUAGGGACAUCCCUGGGGGGUCAAAGGGAGCGAUCCCGGUGGUGGAUGGGCAUGCGGCGCAUUAGCUAGUCGGCGGGGUAACGGCCCACCGAGGCGACGAUGCGUAGGGGUUCUGAGAGGAAGGUCCCCCACAUUGGAACUGAGACACGGUCCAAACUCCUACGGAAGGCAGCAG